RNAcentral lists this ribosomal RNA (613 nucleotides) under uncultured bacterium. Its description in RNAcentral is "bacterial SSU rRNA". It matches the Rfam family "Bacterial small subunit ribosomal RNA", at positions 135 to 766 of the family's 1533-position model. The record is from RNAcentral.
ACAGGGGGAUAACACUUAGAAAUAGGUGCUAAUACCGCAUAAGCGCACGGUUCCGCAUGGAACAGUGUGAAAAACUCCGGUGGUAUACGAUGGAUCCGCGUCUGAUUAGCCAGUUGGCGGGGUAACGGCCCACCAAAGCGACGAUCAGUAGCCGGCCUGAGAGGGUGAACGGCCACAUUGGGACUGAGACACGGCCCAAACUCCUACGGGAGGCAGCAGUGGGGAAUAUUGCACAAUGGGGGAAACCCUGAUGCAGCGACGCCGCGUGAGUGAAGAAGUAUCUCGGUACGUAAAGCUCUAUCAGCAGGGAAGAAAAUGACGGUACCUGACUAAGAAGCCCCGGCUAACUACGUGCCAGCAGCCGCGGUAAUACGUAGGGGGCAAGCGUUAUCCGGAUCUACUGGGUGUAAAGGGAGCGUAGACGGCAGCGCAAGUCUGGAGUGAAAUGCCGGGGCUCAACCCCGGAACUGCUUUGGAAACUGUGCAGCUCGAGUGCAGGAGAGGUAAGCGGAAUUCCUAGUGUAGCGGUGAAAUGCGUAGAUAUUAGGAGGAACACCAGUGGCGAAGGCGGCUUACUGGACUGUAACUGACGUUGAGGCUCGAAAGCGUGGGG